ACGGAAGGCAGCAGUGGGGAAUAUUGCACAAUGGGGGAAACCCUGAUGCAGCGACGCCGCGUGAGUGAAGAAGUAUUUCGGUAUGUAAAGCUCUAUCAGCAGGGAAGAAAAUGACGGUACCUGACUAAGAAGCCCCGGCUAACUACGUGCCAGCAGCCGCGGUAAUACGUAGGGGGCAAGCGUUAUCCGGAUUUACUGGGUGUAAAGGGCGUGCAGCCGGGUCUGCAAGUCAGAUGUGAAAUCCACGGGCUCAACUCGUGAACUGCAUUUGAAACUGUAGAUCCUGAGUGCUGGAGAGGUAAUCGGAAUUCCUUGUGUAGCGGUGAAAUGCGUAGAUAUAAGGAAGAACACCAGUGGCGAAGGCGGAUUACUGGACAGUAACUGACGGUGAGGCGCGAAAGCGUGGGGAGCAAACAGGAUUAGAUACCCUGGUA
RNAcentral lists this ribosomal RNA (434 nucleotides) under uncultured Lachnospiraceae bacterium. RNAcentral's name for it is "bacterial SSU rRNA". It matches the Rfam family "Bacterial small subunit ribosomal RNA", at positions 341 to 792 of the family's 1533-position model. The record is from RNAcentral. Lineage: Bacteria; Bacillati; Bacillota; Clostridia; Lachnospirales; Lachnospiraceae.